GACGAACGCUGGCGGCGUGCCUAAUACAUGCAAGUAGAACGCUGAAGGAGGAGCUUGCUUCUCCGGAUGAGUUGCGAACGGGUGAGCAACGCGUAGGUAACCUGCCUGGUAGCGGGGGAUAACUAUUGGAAACGAUAGCUAAUACCGCAUAAGAGUAGAUGUUGCAUGACAUUUGCUUAAAAGGUGCUAUUGCAUCACUACUAGAUGGACCUGCGUUGUAUUAGCUAGUUGGUAGGGUAACGGCUCACCAAGGCGACGAUACAUAGCCGACCUGAGAGGGUGGUCGGCCACACUGGACUGAGACACGGCCCAGACUCCUACGGGAGGCAGCAGUAGGGAAUCUUCGGCAAUGGACGGAAGUCUGACCGAGCAACGCCGCGUGAGUGAAGAAGGUUUUCGGAUCGUAAAGCUCUGUUGUAAGAGAAGAACGAGUGUGAGAGUGGAAAGUUCACACUGUGACGGUAUCUUACCAGAAAGGGACGGCUAACUACGUGC
Molecule: ribosomal RNA, 495 nt
Filed under: uncultured Streptococcus sp.
Lineage: Bacteria; Bacillati; Bacillota; Bacilli; Lactobacillales; Streptococcaceae
Description: bacterial SSU rRNA
Rfam family: Bacterial small subunit ribosomal RNA
Source: RNAcentral